Molecule: ribosomal RNA, 466 nt
Filed under: uncultured bacterium
Lineage: Bacteria
Description: partial 16S ribosomal RNA
Rfam family: Bacterial small subunit ribosomal RNA
Source: RNAcentral
GACGAACGCUGGCGGCGCGCCUAACACAUGCAAGUCGAACGAGCGAGAGAGAGCUUGCUUUCUUGAGCGAGUGGCGAACGGGUGAGUAACGCGUGAGGAACCUGCCUCAAAGAGGGGGACAACAGUUGGAAACGACUGCUAAUACCGCAUAAGCCCACGACCCGGCAUCGGGUUGAGGGAAAAGGAGCAAUCCGCUUUGAGAUGGCCUCGCGUCCGAUUAGCUAGUUGGUGAGGUAACGGCCCACCAAGGCGACGAUCGGUAGCCGGACUGAGAGGUUGAACGGCCACAUUGGGACUGAGACACGGCCCAGACUCCUACGGGAGGCAGCAGUGGGGAAUAUUGCACAAUGGGGGAAACCCUGAUGCAGCGACGCCGGGUGGAGGAAGAAGGUCUUCGGAUUGUAAACUCCUGUUGUUGAGGAAGAUAAUGACGGUACUCAACAAGGAAGUGACGGCUAACUACGUG